CUCUUAUCCAGAGAGGUGGAGGGACUGGCCCGAUGAAACCCGGCAACCAUUUGCGCCCUCACGUGCAAAAAGGUGCUAAUUCCUGCAGGUGUCGACCUGGCAGAUGAGAG
Molecule: non-coding RNA, 110 nt
Filed under: Novibacillus thermophilus
Lineage: Bacteria; Bacillati; Bacillota; Bacilli; Caryophanales; Thermoactinomycetaceae
Description: SAM-I sequence
Rfam family: SAM riboswitch aptamer (S box leader)
About the family: The SAM riboswitch is found upstream of a number of genes which code for proteins involved in methionine or cysteine biosynthesis in Gram-positive bacteria. The SAM riboswitch acts at the level of transcription termination control. The predicted structure consists of a complex stem-loop region followed by a single stem loop terminator region.
Source: Rfam by way of RNAcentral